Molecule: long non-coding RNA, 228 nt
Organism: Helianthus annuus (common sunflower)
Lineage: Eukaryota; Viridiplantae; Streptophyta; Magnoliopsida; Asterales; Asteraceae
Exons: 3
Source: RefSeq, a predicted model, not a curated record
UGAUUGUCCAAUCGACUACUCAAGACCAUGUGAAAGUAUAUGUUCUGCUAAUGCAAUCUCCAACCAAGGAGUAACAACAGAGCGCUGCUAUGGUUGUGGACGUUGUUUUCCAGUUUGUCCAUAUGAUAAAAUAAAAGCAAUAUCAUAUGUAAGAGAUGCUGCUGCGACAUCUACACUUCUUGAGCGAGAUGAUGUUGAUGCUCUCGAGAUUCAUACAAAUGGAAGGUA